Molecule: ribosomal RNA, 549 nt
Filed under: uncultured Alphaproteobacteria bacterium
Lineage: Bacteria; Pseudomonadati; Pseudomonadota; Alphaproteobacteria
Description: partial 16S ribosomal RNA
Rfam family: Bacterial small subunit ribosomal RNA
Source: RNAcentral
UUGGGAGCUCUCCCAUAUGGUCGACCUGCAGGCGGCCGCGAAUUCACUAGUGAUUAGAGUUUGAUCCUGGCUCAGAAUAAAUGCUAUUGGUAUGCUUAACACAUGCAAGUUUAAUGUUUUUAUUUUAAAGACAUGGCAAACGGGUGCGUAACACGUGAAUAAUCUACCCUUUAAUUCAGCAUAAUUGUUUUUAAUAAAAAUUCUGAAUAAUACAUAAAGUUUUAAAAACGUUAAAGGAUGAGUUUGCGGAAGAUUAGGUAGUUGGUAGUGUAAGGGACUACCAAGCCCGCGAUCUUUAGCUGAUUUGAAAGAAUGAUCAGCCACAUUGGGACUGAGACACGGCCCAAACUUUUUUAAAGGCAGCAGUGAGGAAUAUUGGACAAUGGGCGAAAGCCUGAUCCAGCAAUACCAAGUGAGUGAAGAAGGCUAAUAGGUUGUAAAGCUCUUUCAUUAAGGAAGAAAAAAGACAGUACUUAAAAAAGAAGUUCCGGCUAAUUUCGUGCCAGCAGCCGCGGUAAUACGAAUCGAAUUCCCGCGGCCGCCAUGGCG